RNAcentral lists this ribosomal RNA (253 nucleotides) under uncultured bacterium. RNAcentral's name for it is "partial 16S ribosomal RNA". It matches the Rfam family "Bacterial small subunit ribosomal RNA", at positions 524 to 776 of the family's 1533-position model. The record is from RNAcentral.
UACGUAGGGUGCGAGCGUUGUCCGGAAUUAUUGGGCGUAAAGGGCUCGUAGGCGGUUUGUCGCGUCGGGAGUGAAAACCUCGGGCUUAACUCGGGGCUUGCUUUCGAUACGGGCAGACUGGAGGUAUGCAGGGGAGAACGGAGUUCCUGGUGUAGCGGUGAAAUGCGCAGAUAUCAGGAGGAACACCGGUGGCGAAGGCGGUUCUCUGGGCAGUAACUGACGCUGAGGAGCGAAAGCGUGGGGAGCGAACAGG